Molecule: long non-coding RNA, 1203 nt
Filed under: Medicago truncatula (barrel medic)
Lineage: Eukaryota; Viridiplantae; Streptophyta; Magnoliopsida; Fabales; Fabaceae
Description: lncRNA gene40613
Source: RNAcentral
CUUAUUUUUCUUAUUUCCCAUGCUGUUAACUUUCUUUCUCUAUUCCGUUCAUCAUCAAUUCUUCACCAUCAUCAUCAAUCGCCCAAUUCAACACUUAUUCUCAGAAUCUUCAUCUUAGGCUGGCUUCCAAAUAUGAAUGAUAUUUUCUACAUUCAUGGUAGUUUGCUGAGAAGAUUUCAUCUAUUUAUCUAAUCUUCAUCGAAUUCGGCAACACCUUGAAUGUGGCAGCAUUGAUGUUCCAAUCGCAGCUUUAUGAAUUAGGUGGAUGAACUGUUAUUUCCGUAUUAGACGAUGCCACUGCCGUGUGAGUAUCUCCCAACAAAUUUGUUUAAAUUUCAAAAUGAUCCUUUAAAUUGAAAAUCUUCGUUCACGUAUGUGAUAUUUUGAACUCUCCACCGAUGCAAAGUGAGUCUGAAGAAUUACUGAAGUGUCCACGAAAAUAGAACCAGUGCAGGAGAAAAAAUAAAGAGCUUAGCACAAAUAGGAUUUUUGAAGUUAUUUAGUGGUUGCCUUAUCGCAUUUGAAGGUUUGCAGGGAGAUGAAUGGAAAAUUGAAAUUUAUCACAGCAUUCGUUGGUAAAAACUACUGAAGUGUUGAAGAAAAUCGAACGAGUAAAGGAGAAAAGAUGAAGAGCUUGUUUGAGUCUUUAGAACAAAUAUAAUUUCUGAAGUUAUUUAGUGGUUGCCUUAUUGCAUUUGAGGUUUUGCAGAUAUGACUGAGAACCUACAUAUGCGUAAAGAGACCAUGACAAGCAGUUCCCGCAAGGAGAGAGUGACAGUGAACCCUACUAAAAUCUGCAUUUCCAACGAUGUGCUGCACUGUCUGUAAAGAGAAGUGACAUAUUGGCUCUUGCUAUAGGUGGUGCUUACCUAAAGAUUCUUGAUGGCUACAUUAGUUCAUAUGUUGUUGCUAUCUGAUGAAUGGAAAAUUUAAAUUUGUUGGUCGAGGGUUGAGUACCUCGAUUGGUUUGAGCUAAGGGUUAAGAAGUUGGAGGUCGUCUGUUCAAAUUUUGGUAAUGUCGACAUUGUCCAUGACAGUGAUUAUAAUUAUGAUGUGUUGUUCAAUUUUAAUAUUUAAGGCUCAUUCUACGCAUGCUGAUAACUUAAUCCUGCCAAGCCCUGUAUAUUAACAUUGAUUAGUUGCUCAAUAUUACAGGUGGAUAUCUAAGCUGUAUUUCGAUGAUAUUCUAGAAAAUACAGAAGC